CGUCGAGGAAAGUCCGGACUCCGCAGGGCAGGACGCUGGGUAACCCCCAGGCGCGGCGACGCGCGGAACAGUGCCACAGAGAGCAGACCGCCAGCCGCCGGCGGGACCGAUGCCUCGGCAUCUGGUCGCCGGUUACCCGGCAGCUGGUAAGGGUGAAAGGGUGCGGUAAGAGCGCACCGGCGCCGGCGGUGACGUCGGCGGCCAGGUAAACCCCGUCCGGAGCAAGGCCAAGCAGGUGCGUUACAGGUGGCCCGCCGAGCACCAGGUAGGCCGCACGAGGCCGGCGGCAACGUCGGUCCCAGAGAGAUGGUCGCCACCUGCGCUCCGGCGCAGGGACAGAAUCCGGCUUACCGGCCGGCUCCCCUU
RNAcentral lists this RNase P RNA (366 nucleotides) under Actinomycetota bacterium. Its description in RNAcentral is "partial RNase P RNA component class A". It matches the Rfam family "Bacterial RNase P class A", at positions 39 to 367 of the family's 367-position model. Rfam says of the family: Ribonuclease P (RNase P) is a ubiquitous endoribonuclease, found in archaea, bacteria and eukarya as well as chloroplasts and mitochondria. Lineage: Bacteria; Bacillati; Actinomycetota. The record is from RNAcentral.